CGAAAGUUGCGCUUUUCUUAGUUCGAAAGGACCAGAAAAGCAGUACCAAUUUUUCAAAAAAAGUACUAAAAAAAAGUUUUGAAAAAAAAAUGAAAAUUUUCACUAAAAAAUUUUACUUUU
Molecule: ribosomal RNA, 120 nt
Filed under: Coscinasterias muricata
Lineage: Eukaryota; Metazoa; Echinodermata; Asteroidea; Forcipulatida; Asteriidae
Description: partial 16S ribosomal RNA
Source: RNAcentral